This 1255-nucleotide ribosomal RNA is filed under the name Lisarda rhypara. Its description in RNAcentral is "16S ribosomal RNA". The stretch from base 830 to 1183 matches the Rfam family "Bacterial large subunit ribosomal RNA", at positions 2079 to 2642 of the family's 2925-position model. Lineage: Eukaryota; Metazoa; Arthropoda; Insecta; Hemiptera; Reduviidae. The record is from RNAcentral.
AUUAAUAAAUAUUUAUUUAUAUAUUUAUUUUUUUUUUUGAUUUAUUAAUAAAAAUAAUUUUAUUUUUAGUAUAUUUUAUAGAAAUAAUUAUAUGUAUGAUAGUAAAUAGUACUGUUAAGGGAAAUUUUAUUUAUAUUGAAAGUAGUUAUUUUUUGACGUACCUUUUGUGUCAGGGUUUACUAAUUAAAUUAAUUUAUUUAUUUUUCCCGAAGGGAAAAGAGCUAAAGUUGUAUGAUUUCAAUGUGUUAAAAUUGUUGAUAAUAUAAUUUUAGUAAUGAAAAGUUAUUCGUUUUUCCGAAUAUCUGGUUGUUUUAGAAUUGAAUUUAAUUCAGGUUAUUUAAGGAUUUUAAAGAUUUUAUUUGUAAUCUUUAAAUGGCUAAGGUUAUUAAGGAUAAGCUUGAUAAUUAUUUUAUAAUUAUAUAGAAAAUGAAGUUAAGGUAGGUUUUAUAUCGGCCAUCAUGAAUUUCGUUAUAGAUUAUUCUGGAUUGAUUUUUAUUUUGUUUAAUUUAAUUUUUUAUAAAACUAUAGGGUUUAAUUUUUUAAUUUUAAUAAUAAUGGUAAAAUUAGUAUAAUAGUAAUUUAAAUUAUAGGAACUAGACAAAUUAGAUGUUCGCCUGUUUAACAAAAACAUGUCCUUUUGAUAAUUUAUUUAAGGUCUAACCUGCCCAAUGAAUAAUUGAAUGGCCGCGGUAUUUUAACUGUGCUAAGGUAGCAUAAUCAUUUGUCUUUUAAUUGAAGGCUGGAAUGAAAGGUUGGACGAAACAUCAAUUUUCUUUAAUUUAAUAGUAGAAUUUAAUUUUUUAGUUAAAAAGCUAAAAUUUUUUUAGGGGACGAGAAGACCCUAUAGAUCUUAAUAAAGUUAAUAUUUAUUAAUUUGGGCGUUGAAUAUAAUUGAAUAUGCAGUUUUAUUUGAUUGGGGCGAUUCUAGAAUUUAACAAACUUCUGGUUUUAUUUUUCAUUAAUUUAUGUUUUUUUGAUCCAUUAUUAGUGAUUAAAAGAUUAAGUUACCUUAGGGAUAACAGCGUAAUUUUUUCAGAGAGUUCAUAUUAAUGGAAAAGUUUGCGACCUCGAUGUUGGAUUAAAAUAAGUAUUUGGUGCAGUAGCUAAAUUACUAGGUCUGUUCGACCUUUAAAUUUUUACAUGAUCUGAGUUCAGACCGGCGUGAGCCAGGUCAGUUUCUAUCUUUAAUUAAUAAUUAUAUUUUAGUACGAAAGGACCAAAUAUAAGAAAAAUUUUUUAUUAUUUGAAUAAUAUU